GGAGUGAUACUCAAGAGGCUGAAGAGGCGCCCCUGCUAAGGGUGUAGGGUGGGUAACUGCCGCGAGGGUUCAAAUCCCUCUCACUCCG
This 88-nucleotide transfer RNA is filed under the name Caudoviricetes sp. RNAcentral describes it as "tRNA-Ser". It matches the Rfam family "tRNA". From Rfam's summary of the family: Transfer RNA (tRNA) molecules are approximately 80 nucleotides in length. Their secondary structure includes four short double-helical elements and three loops (D, anti-codon, and T loops). The record is from RNAcentral. Lineage: Duplodnaviria; Heunggongvirae; Uroviricota; Caudoviricetes.